RNAcentral lists this ribosomal RNA (253 nucleotides) under uncultured bacterium. RNAcentral describes it as "partial 16S ribosomal RNA". It matches the Rfam family "Bacterial small subunit ribosomal RNA", at positions 524 to 776 of the family's 1533-position model. The record is from RNAcentral.
UACGAAGGUCCCAAGCGUUGUUCGGAAUCACUGGGCGUAAAGGGAGCGUAGGCGGCGUGGUAAGUCAGAUGUGAAAUCCCGGGGCUCAACCCCGGAACUGCAUCCGAUACUGCCAUGCUAGAGGAUUGGAGAGGUAGCUGGAAUUCUUGGUGUAGCAGUGAAAUGCGUAGAGAUCGUAAGGAAGGCCGGUGGCGAAAGCGAGCCUCUGGACAGUUACUGACGCUGAUGCACGAAGGCCAGGGGAGCAAACGGG